UUAAAUGGCACAGUUAGUUCAGCUGUGAACUGCAGGUUCAGCACAGCUGUUUUUGUGUCUAUUUUGUGUUUAUUUUUUGCAAUCUGGCAUGUUUAGAAAUGUGCCGAAUUGGCUACUUUCAACUCAUGUUUGGAUUAAUCACAUGGAAUUAAAGACAACUCUCACAUGAUUAAUCUGAUGCUGAAGAAAAAGAAAAAAAAACUUAAUUCCCCUCAACUAAAUUCGGCACUCAUGACUCGUGACGCGUGUUUCUCUCUCCAUGAUUCCCAAACGAAUUUUCGUUUAAUUUCCCGUUGGAGUUUCGUCAUUACAUCCUGGCUCUGGUCCUGGAUGAACUGGACAUGUGGUUGAAACAGACACCCUUCUGUUCAGCCUGCAGGGCAGUUGAAGUCCCCCUCCUCCCCUCCUUCAGGUGCUGAGGAGGCACCAGAAGUGGAAGCAGCAUCCACAGAAAGUCCCAGAGAGGCAGGUCUGAAGGACAGGUGGGGAGCCACACAGUGCCACCUCAAACCACUGUCUCCACAGCAGGAAGGACGGAGGGAGGCAACACAUAGAUGGAGACCAGCAUGCUAAGAGACCCAAGAAAGACAGAUUUGUGUGAGUGUGCAAGU
This is a long non-coding RNA of Solea senegalensis (Senegalese sole), 611 nucleotides long. RefSeq lists it as uncharacterized. The transcript is spliced from 3 exons. The record is from RefSeq and is a predicted model, not a curated record. Lineage: Eukaryota; Metazoa; Chordata; Actinopteri; Pleuronectiformes; Soleidae.